This 108-nucleotide small nucleolar RNA is filed under the name Olea europaea subsp. europaea. RNAcentral's name for it is "Plant small nucleolar RNA R71". It matches the Rfam family "Plant small nucleolar RNA R71". Rfam says of the family: R71 is a member of the C/D box family of snoRNAs containing the C (UGAUGA) and D (CUGA) box motifs. Lineage: Eukaryota; Viridiplantae; Streptophyta; Magnoliopsida; Lamiales; Oleaceae. The record is from Rfam by way of RNAcentral.
AUCCCAUGAUUUGGGCACUUUCUAAACAUGUCUUUAAACCUCUUCCAAGCCUCAUGAAAGCUUUUCCAUGUCAAGUUGUUGGAAGGUGGCUAUAUUGUGCUUGAGCUU